Non-coding RNA from Drosophila kikkawai, 487 nucleotides. NCBI's taxonomy places the organism in Eukaryota, Metazoa, Arthropoda, Insecta, Diptera, Drosophilidae. The record is from RefSeq and is a predicted model, not a curated record.
UAUGUAGCUAGGCGUUUAAUGUCUAUUUCAAAAAGUUGUUAACUAAAUUAUAUAUUCAAAAUUUUCCUUUAAAAAAUGUAUAAUUUUGUAUAAUGGAAAAGUAUAUAGAGUACAAAUGCUGCAAUCCGGCAUCUAGCCUCAGCACGUCUAGCUCAACAAAAAUAUUUUGUGAUGGGGAAAAACUGUGCAAUCCAUGUGGAUGUUAUCGUUGCUGUAAGUCCGCAUUUUUUAAUGAUCAUACCUAUUCUAUCUUGAAGAGGAUAUGUCAUAAGAUAAUACAAAAUCAAAGCCGGCAAAGGUGUCGCGAAAACUAUUCCGUUUUCGAUGGUGGCAAUAGCACAAUCAUUAGACCCGCAUUCAAAGGACAACAAGAUGGGACUGAUCUAUUUAAUAAUUGUAUUCCGACCCAAAGUGUGUCACUCAAAAGCGGACAUAGAGAACAAAAACAUGAAUAUGUUCGUGUGCCUGACUUAAAAAGAAAUGAAAU